This 253-nucleotide ribosomal RNA is filed under the name uncultured bacterium. Its description in RNAcentral is "partial 16S ribosomal RNA". It matches the Rfam family "Bacterial small subunit ribosomal RNA", at positions 524 to 776 of the family's 1533-position model. The record is from RNAcentral.
UACGUAGGGUGCAAGCGUUAAUCGGAAUUACUGGGCGUAAAGCGUGCGCAGGCGGUGAUGUAAGACAGAUGUGAAAUCCCCGGGCUCAACCUGGGAACUGCAUUUGUGACUGCAUCGCUGGAGUACGGCAGAGGGGGAUGGAAUUCCGCGUGUAGCAGUGAAAUGCGUAGAUAUGCGGAGGAACACCGAUGGCGAAGGCAAUCCCCUGGGCCAACACUGACGCUCAUGCACGAAAGCGUGGGGAGCAAACAGG